Molecule: unclassified non-coding RNA, 564 nt
Filed under: Hevea brasiliensis (rubber tree)
Lineage: Eukaryota; Viridiplantae; Streptophyta; Magnoliopsida; Malpighiales; Euphorbiaceae
Source: RNAcentral
AGUGGCUAAUAUUUGCACAUUAUUACACAAAAUAAUAAUAAUAAUAAAAUCUGCAAUUGUUUUAACUAAUUUCAAUUUCUCAGCUAAACUUAAUAUACAAAAUAUUUGUUAACAAAGCUACAUCUCUUCGAGAUCGAAGAUCCUGUCCUAUUGUGUACUGCAUCAUACCUUCAACUAUUUUGUAUUAUGGACAAGAAAUAACCAAAUAUCAUAUUGUGGAGAGCUCAGUGUGAGCAGAGACUGAAGGCAAAACCUUCUUCCCUCUGGUCAUACUAUGUCAUUGGUUUGAUUUCAAGAAGAAUAUGUGAGAGUGAGAGAACUUCGUCCUCCUCACCCGCUAAUUCUACAUUUCCUAAUAAUCUUGUUUGAAAGAUUUACAUGUCUAUUCCAUAUGUUUUGUACCUCUGGGAGCCCUAUCUCUAGCCAGGGCUUUGCAGGGCCACUAAAAUGUAAAACAGCAGCAGCUUCCAGUAUCUCUCUGCGACCUUCGGGGGGUCUAUAGCCUAGUCCAGCCAGAUGCCAUGUGGGAUCAAUUGGGUGCACUUGACCAUCAAAAGCAAGUAA